This 367-nucleotide ribosomal RNA is filed under the name Hartmannulidae sp. RNAcentral describes it as "partial small subunit ribosomal RNA". It matches the Rfam family "Eukaryotic small subunit ribosomal RNA", at positions 582 to 975 of the family's 1831-position model. Lineage: Eukaryota; Ciliophora; Phyllopharyngea; Dysteriida; Hartmannulidae. The record is from RNAcentral.
AUUCCAGCUCCAAUAGUGUAUCUUAAUGUUGUUGCAGUUAAAAAGCUCGUAGUUGAAUUUCUGGCAAUACAGCUGAUCUUUUCGAGAAGCACGUAUAUGUCAUCCGCAUUGGAAGCACAUUCGAUAGCAAUAUCAGUGUGUGGAAGGUGCAUUUUACUUUGAAGAAAUUAGAGUGUUCCAGGCAGGCUAUGUUUGAAUAUUACAGCAUGGAAUAAUGGAAUAGGACAAGUUCAUUUUAUUGGUUAUUGAAUUUGUAAUGAUUAACAGGGACAGUUGGGGGCAUUCGUAUUGGAUAGUCAGAGGUGAAAUUCUUAGAUUUAUUCAAGACGCACUAAAGCGAAGGCAUUUGCCAAGGAUGUUUUCAUCA